This is a long non-coding RNA of Oncorhynchus tshawytscha (Chinook salmon), 1067 nucleotides long. RefSeq lists it as uncharacterized. NCBI's taxonomy places the organism in Eukaryota, Metazoa, Chordata, Actinopteri, Salmoniformes, Salmonidae. The transcript has 5 exons. The record is from RefSeq and is a predicted model, not a curated record.
CAGGCAUAUAGAUGAAUUCUCACUCUAGGUCACCGUAACACAGGCAUAUAGAUGAAUUCUCACUCUAGGUCACCGUAACACAGGCAUAUAGAUGAAUUCUCACUCUAGGUCACCCGUAACACAGGCAUAUAGAUGAAUUCUCACUCUAGGUCACCGUAACACAGGCAUAUAGAUGAAUUCUCACUCUAGGUCACCGUAACACAGGCAUAUAGAUGAAUUCUCACUCUAGGUCACCGUAACACAGGCAUAUAGAUGAAUUCUCACUCUAGGUCACCCGUAACACAGGCAUAUAGAUGAAUUCUCACUCUAGGUCACCGUAACACAGGCAUAUAGAUGAAUUCUCACUCUAGGUCACCGUAACACAGGCAUAUAGAUGAAUUCUCACUCUAGGUCACCCGUAACACAGGCAUAUAGAUGAAUUCUCACUCUAGGUCACCGUAACACAGGCAUAUAGAUGAAUUCUCACUCUAGGUCACCGUAACACAGGCAUAUAGAUGAAUUCUCACUCUAGGUCACCCAUAACACAGGCAUAUAGAUGAAUUCUCACUCUAGGUCACCCGUAACACAGGCAUAUAGAUGAAUUCUCACUCUAGGUCACCCGUAACACAGGCAUAUAGAUGAAUUCUCACUCUAGGUCACCGUAACACAGGCAUAUAGAUGAAUUCUCACUCUAGGUCACCGUAACACAGGCAUAUAGAUGAAUUCUCACUCUAGGUCACCGUAACACAGGCAUAUAGAUGAAUUCUCACUCUAGGUCACCGUAACACAGGCAUAUAGAUGAAUUCUCACUCUAGGUCACCGUAACACAGGCAUAUAGAUGAAUUCUCACUCUAGGUCACCGUAACACAGGCAUAUAGAUGAAUUCUCACUCUAGGUCACCGUAACACAGGCAUAUAGAUGAAUUCUCACUCUAGGUCACCCGUAACACAGGCAUAUAGAUGAAUUCUCACUCUAGGUCACCGUAACACAGGCAUAUAGAUGAAUUCUCACUCUAGGUCACCGUAACACAGGCAUAUAGAUGAAUUCUCACUCUAGGUCACCGUAACACAGGCAUAUAGAUGAAUUCU